RNAcentral lists this ribosomal RNA (460 nucleotides) under uncultured bacterium. RNAcentral's name for it is "partial 16S ribosomal RNA". It matches the Rfam family "Bacterial small subunit ribosomal RNA", at positions 338 to 795 of the family's 1533-position model. The record is from RNAcentral.
CCUACGGGUGGCAGCAGUGAGGAAUAUUGGUCAAUGGGCGGAAGCCUGAACCAGCCAAGUAGCGUGCAGGAUGACGGCCCUACGGGUUGUAAACUGCUUUUAUACGGGAAUAACGCGCCUUACGUGUAGGGCUUUGCAUGUACCGUAUGAAUAAGGACCGGCUAAUUCCGUGCCAGCAGCCGCGGUAAUACGGAAGGUCCGGGCGUUAUCCGGAUUUAUUGGGUUUAAAGGGAGCGUAGGCGGGAUGUCAAGCGUGCUGUGAAAUUUUCGGGCUCAACCCGGGCCUUGCAGCGCAGACUGGCGUGCUUGAGUCCGCGGAAAGCAGGCGGAAUUCGUCGUGUAGCGGUGAAAUGCUUAGAUAUGACGAAGAACCCCGAUUGCGAAGGCAGCUUGCUGCAGCGGAACUGACGCUGAUGCUCGAAAGCGCGGGUAUCGAACAGGAUUAGAUACCCGAGUAGUC